RNAcentral lists this ribosomal RNA (253 nucleotides) under uncultured bacterium. RNAcentral describes it as "partial 16S ribosomal RNA". It matches the Rfam family "Bacterial small subunit ribosomal RNA", at positions 524 to 776 of the family's 1533-position model. The record is from RNAcentral.
UACAGAGGUCUCAAGCGUUGUUCGGAUUCAUUGGGCGUAAAGGGUGCGUAGGCGGCGCUGUAAGUCGGGUGUGAAAUUUCGGAGCUCAACUCCGAGACUGCAUUCGAUACUGCGGUGCUUGAGGACUGGAGAGGAGACUGGAAUUCAUGGUGUAGCAGUGAAAUGCGUAGAUAUCGAGAGGAACACCAGUGGCGAAGGCGAGUCCCUGGACAACACCUGACACUGAGGCACGAAAGCUAGGGGAGCAAACAGG